Molecule: unclassified non-coding RNA, 20 nt
Filed under: Chlamydomonas reinhardtii
Lineage: Eukaryota; Viridiplantae; Chlorophyta; Chlorophyceae; Chlamydomonadales; Chlamydomonadaceae
Description: small RNA Cre_1666
Source: RNAcentral
GCACUUAUAGCUCAGUUGGU